RNAcentral lists this ribosomal RNA (253 nucleotides) under uncultured bacterium. RNAcentral describes it as "partial 16S ribosomal RNA". It matches the Rfam family "Bacterial small subunit ribosomal RNA", at positions 524 to 776 of the family's 1533-position model. The record is from RNAcentral.
UACGUAGGUGGCAAGCGUUGUCCGGAUUUACUGGGCGUAAAGAGCGCGCAGGCGGCCGAGUCAGUCGAAUGUGAAAGCCCCCGGCUCAACUGGGGAGGGUCAUUCGAUACUGCUCGGCUUGAAGAUGGGAGAGGGAAGCGGAAUUUCAGGUGUAGUGGUGAAAUGCGUAGAUAUCUGAAGGAACACCAGUGGCGAAGGCGGCUUUCUGGCCCAUUCUUGACGCUGAGGCGCGAAAGCUAGGGGAGCAAACGGG